This is an RNA transcript of Panicum virgatum (switchgrass), 3790 nucleotides long. It is a transcript of the gene named ATP-dependent DNA helicase SRS2-like protein At4g25120, with no coding region annotated. The record is from RefSeq and is a predicted model, not a curated record. The transcript has 30 exons. NCBI's taxonomy places the organism in Eukaryota, Viridiplantae, Streptophyta, Magnoliopsida, Poales, Poaceae.
GUGCCCGCCUAUCCGGUUUCUCCACCCCAAAGGCCCAAACCCUCGCCGGCGGGCUGCGGCGGCCAGCGACCAUGUCGCGAUUGAAGGAGAAUACCUUCCAUCUCCGCUCCUGCUCGCGCGGCGCUCCCAAUCCCUCCCCACUCCUCCCCUGCAAGCGCCCGCUGCAAUCGCCAUCCCCAUGCCUGCCGCCGCGCCGGCCGCUUGCAGAUGUCACCGGCAACGCGCUGGAGCAGCGGGGCGGCGGGGAGCCGGGCGGGUGCGGUUACGCCACUCCCCUCCAGAAGGCGCCCAGGCCGUGCGAGUUCCUUCUGGGAGACGACGACGACAUGGACGAGGCAUUCUUACGGGAGGUGGACGCCAUCUGUGAGGAGCACGCACGGUCCACGGCCAGGAAGGAGAAGGAUAAGAAGCUGGCGGUGGAGAACAACGGGAUGAAAGAAGGGCCGCCUGCAGCGGUGGCGGCGAUGAUUGACGACGCUGGACCAGAGAUAGCAAUGUUUGAAGAUUCGUUUUGGAAUAUCAAUGCCAUUAGCGAAGAGCACUAUACCAAAUCUCAUGCCAAGUGUCAGGAGGGUAUCGCGGAGUUGGACAAAAAAGAUGGCUUGAUAGCAUUGUCUGGUGAUGCUUCAGUUUCCCCAGUAAUUUCCAUUGCAAAGGGGCCCGAAGAGCUUGUUGAUGCAUUCUAUGGGGUGGUUGAUGCCACCAUUCAUGAGGGGCAUGCUGAUAGUUCUGCUGCCAACGGCAAUAAGGAGAUGAAAUAUAUGGAACUAGAAAUGGAGGAAGAUGAAGGGUGUGCUCCAAAGAAGUACUAUGAAUAUUUGCACUCCCUGAACGAUAAGCAGAGGGAGGCUGCAUGUAGUGAUGUGUCUGUUCCACUAAUGAUUGUUGCUGGUCCAGGAAGUGGAAAGACUUCCACAAUGGUUGGCAGGGUGCUCACACUCCUCAAAGAGGGAAUUCCACCAUCAAACAUUCUUGCUAUGACAUUCACCACAGCUGCUGCCUCAGAAAUGAGGGAUCGGAUAGGGACAGUUGUGGGGAAGGCAGUUGCCAGGGAGAUUGCAAUAAGCACAUUUCACUCAUUCUGCUUGCAGCUUUGCAGGACACAUGCGGAAAAGCUGGGCCGCACAUCUGAAUUCAUAAUAUAUGGACAUGGACAACAACGAAGGGCAGUUAUUGAAGCGGAGCGUUUAUUGGAAAAUGACAAAAGAGGUGGUGCUGAUGAUACAACUAAACAAUAUGAUGGGGUCAUAAAAAGUUCUUUCAAAGACAAAGCUAAGAAGUGGCAGAAGUUCAUUGCACAGGCAAAAGCUUCAGGAAGAACUCCAGAGGAGUAUGAAAAGAAGGGUGACUUGACAGGAGCUUCUGUUCUUAGGCAUUACAAUGAAAUAUUAAGAUCCUGUAAUGCUCUAGAUUACCAUGAUUUUAUAAACUCAUCCAUAACUCUUCUCACGAACUUUCCUGAAGUAUACAAAGAGUGCCAGGAUAUAUGGCAGGCAAUCGUAGUUGAUGAGUUUCAGGAUACCAGUGCUAUGCAAUACUGUCUUCUGAAGAUUCUAGCUUCCCACAAUCAUAUAACUAUUGUUGGUGAUGAGGAUCAGUCCAUCUUCAGUUUCAAUGGUGCUGAUGUAUCUGGCUUCGAUUCAUUUCGCAGAGAUUUCCCAAAUCACAAAGAGAUCAGAUUGAGCAAGAACUACCGCUCCACACGGGCAAUUGUUGAAGCAGCAACCGCUUUAAUUCACAACAACACGAAACGUCAUCAUCAUAAGCUUGUUGAGACUGAUAACCCUUCUGGUUGUAAGAUUACUGUCAAGGAGUGCCAUAGUGAAGAUUCUCAAUGUGCAUUUGUUAUUGACAAAAUCAUCGAAACUACGUCUAGUUCAGCUGAAGGCUGCAACUUUGGCAACAUUGCUGUCCUGUACCGAAGACAGAUAACUGGAAAAGCGUUCCAAGUGGCCUUUCGCAACCGGAAAAUUCCCUUUAACGUCCAUGGUGUGGCUUUCUACAGAAAAAAGGUGAUCAAAGCUAUCAUGGCAAUACUUCGGACCACAUUACCUGGCUGUGAUGAUGGCCCAUGGCGUCAAGCUUUCAAGGCCCUUUUACCUAGUGACAAAGAAGAAAAGAAGAAGAUGAUAGAUCAUGUUGAAAAGAUUUCACUGGCUAGAAAGUGUAGUUUUGUAUCUGCUGCUACUGACAUCUUCAGUGCAAAGGUCUCUGGUACCUUUAAAAGGGCCCAGAUUACUCAAGGACGUAAGGUUUUAUCGACCUUGGAUAGCCUAUCAAAACUUGUUGAGAGGGAACAAUCAGUUUCAGUCAUCAUUUCCUCUGCAGGAGACAUGCUACCUCAGAAAUAUCUCCUCGAAAAGCGUGCAGUUGUUGAUGUUGACAAUGGCAAAUUGUUAAAUGAAGAUAGUGAUAUUAGAUCAGUUCUUCAGUUUCUAAUGGAUGAUGUGUCUGACUUCCUGUCAACACAUUUUUCUAGCUCAAUGGAGGGAAGCAAGAGCGAGGAGAAAUGCUGCACUUCUACACUUCAAGCUUUCAUUGAUUAUAUAUCUUUGAGGGAAAUUGAAAAUUUUCGAUCCCGGAAGGAGGAAAAUAAGAAUUCCAUCACAUUAACAACUAUUCAUCAGUCAAAAGGUUUGGAGUGGGAUGUUGUGUUCAUUGUGCAGGCAAACGAUUCAGAAAUUCCUUUGUUGCAUGAAUACAAUGGCACCGUGAAAGAAGCUAGAAGCACACUAGAGGAGGAGAGGAGGUUAUUCUAUGUUGCAAUGACACGAGCUCGGAAAAAGUUAUACAUCUUGCAUGUUACAGUUGACUCUAAUCGUCAGGCAGCUUCUGCAACCUUCACGUUUUCUCAGGGAAAUUCCUGUUCACCUUCUAGAGGUCCAUGUGAGCAAUACUUUGGGAUCUAGUUCUACUACAUAUAAUCCUUUCCUAUUUGAGCAACAUAUUUUCUUAUUUUAUUGAUGGCCAAGGGCGAGGAGAGUCUCAGAAAAAUUCCAGAGCAGCCUUCGGUGGAUGUUUCUUUUGAUGGUCCUGAAGGGGAUACAUCAAUUGGAAAGCCUAUUACGGAACAGAAUGAAACUACACCUUGCCUGGAACUGGCUCAGGCAUGUGCUAAUGAUUUCUUGAGAAGGUUUGACAUUGACGAUAGAUCAGUUGUCUCACAUAUAUUUCAUCAUUGGGGCAAGAAGCAGGCAUUUCAAAAUCCAAAGAGAUUGCUUGAUAAGAUCAAUUUUGUGAUUGAUGAACGCCUACAAGGUAAAGGAUACAAACGCAAGGAUGUCUUGCGAAAGCUGAAGUCAUUCCUAAGUUGCGAUGAAGCAUUUGGUUAUGCACAAUAUGUUAUCAAGUGGGAACAGAUUCCUAUUGAGAAGCGGAGCCAUUUAACAAGAGAAAGACAGGAACAUUUCCAAAAGCAGAGGAUAGAGAAUUCCAUGGGUUCAUCAGAACCCACAGCCAAGCAGAUAUCCUACCUCAGGAACCUUGGAUGCACCAUCACUCCGACCUCUCGAUUACAUGCAUCUCAUCUCAUCGAAAAGUACAAAUCUCUCUGACUUAAUGCUGCAGAGCAGAUGUACCCAACCGCUCCAAUUCGUGCAGAUUUUGGGAUCAUGGGGUUGAGUCGUGUUCAAAGUUCGAACUGUAUAGCUGUAUACCUUAUGUGCGUGCUGUACAUAUUAUGAGUGUAGUAUGUAUGAACUCUGUUGUGGACUGGACACAUCAAGGUUGUAUGACAUAGCUCCGUUCAGAAUUCUGUUUUUAACCAUAUAAUUAUAUUUGGUUCUUUCUU